RNAcentral lists this ribosomal RNA (457 nucleotides) under uncultured beta proteobacterium. Its description in RNAcentral is "bacterial SSU rRNA". It matches the Rfam family "Bacterial small subunit ribosomal RNA", at positions 342 to 791 of the family's 1533-position model. Lineage: Bacteria; Pseudomonadati; Pseudomonadota; Betaproteobacteria. The record is from RNAcentral.
CGGGUGGCAGCAGUGGGGAAUUUUGGACAAUGGGGGAAACCCUGAUCCAGCAAUGCCGCGUGAGUGAAGAAGGCCUUCGGGUUGUAAAGCUCUUUCGGCCGGGACGAAAUCGCUCUGGUGAAUAUCCAGGGUGGAUGACGGUACCGGAAUAAGAAGCACCGGCUAACUACGUGCCAGCAGCCGCGGUAAUACGUAGGGUGCGAGCGUUAAUCGGAAUUACUGGGCGUAAAGCGUGCGCAGGCGGUUUUGUAAGUCAGACGUGAAAGCCCCGGGCUUAACCUGGGAAUUGCGUUUGAAACUGCAAGGCUAGAGUACGGCAGAGGGGGGUAGAAUUCCACGUGUAGCAGUGAAAUGCGUAGAUAUGUGGAGGAAUACCGAUGGCGAAGGCAGCCCCCUGGGCUAGUACUGACGCUCAUGCACGAAAGCGUGGGGAGCAAACAGGAUUAGAUACCCCGGU